Molecule: long non-coding RNA, 6713 nt
Organism: Musa acuminata AAA Group (dessert banana)
Lineage: Eukaryota; Viridiplantae; Streptophyta; Magnoliopsida; Zingiberales; Musaceae
Exons: 4
Source: RefSeq, a predicted model, not a curated record
UCUUAUAGUCUCAUCACCAAAACAAAGGCACGAAUAUUUUCAUUUGUUUUUUUAAUCUCUUAUAUUGUCAUCCACAAAUCGGCGCUCGUUUUCUCUAUGUUGUUCCCCUUCCCGCCGCUCUCUCUGUGAGCGAAGGACAACGCCGCGGGCGCCAACGGCGGCGAGGGACUUGCCGACGAGGCUGCGCGGCUGGCUGACCGGGCCCGCGAGCUACACGACGCCGCUGCCACCUUCAUCUCCAGGUCCUCCGCCGACGAGUAAUCCCUCCGCCACCGCACGCAAGCUAAGAUACUCCGUCGAAACUUCCCUCAAGAACUCCGCCGUCGAUGCAAUGGUAGUUACGAAGGUAGAGGAAGAAUUGAACAGGGCAAGAAGGUAUGCCCUGAAUGAUGAUGAUGCGGCGUCCCUUCUUCCUAGCAAGGCUCAGGGUAGGUUUCUGAAGAUGUUUCUUGGCGCUGUGAAUGUACACGCGACGAGGAAAGAGGUUCAACUCAAAGUGAAGGAGUACAACAACUAUAAAAGUCAGCUUGUCACUCUUCGAGAUGUUUGAUUUGGGCUGAGGCAGUGGAUAGCUAUUCAGAAUAAUGGGCAAGUCUGGUUGGUUAUUACGAUAUUGUUGUAUAAGUAUGUCUUGUAUGUAAUGAAAUGUUAUCGAUAAACCGAAAUGGAUAUACUGUGUCCAAGUGUUAGGAGAUCUCUCUUAUUUGGAAUUUCAGAAUGUUAAGUCAAAUUUAUGGUGAUAUAAACUUGUGGUGAAUAGUUGGAGUUCUGAUUGUAUAAUUUAUUUAGCUCGUGGAUUUAUAAAUGUUGUUCAUGUUUGUCAAGUUGGCUUGGGUUGCCAUAAAUGUGAAUUAUCGAGUGAUGUGAUAUAUGAUUAUAAACUGCACAGGUUUUAUGGAUGUGAAUAUGAAUAGAAUGUUUUUCAGUGUCCUCAAACGUUAGUUUGGAUCCUGGAUUGGUCUGUGACGAAAAUUUUAAAAAUCAUGGAUAUUUGAAGGGGCGUGACAGAGGUGGUAUCAGAGCAUUGUUUGAGGAUUACUGAAAUAUUUGAUAUGGUGACGUGCAAAAUAUAUUGAGGUCUAAUGAACUAUAGUGAUUGGUGGAAAGUUUCUUUGAUGUAUUUUAGGAAUCUGGGAUGAUGAGGACAUUUGGUCCUCCUAUUUCAUUGUUUCUGAUUAACUAAGGGGAAUGAAAGGAUUGAUUGGGGAUAUUGAAUCAGAGUGGCGUAGCGGAAGCAUGGUGGACCUAAUUUCAUUGGUGGUAGAAAAAUGAAUGAUACAAACAGAGAAGAUAUUUGAUGUACAAAAUUAUUUUGAUGAUUAAAAGAUUUCUUUUGCCACCUUAUAUUGGAAGUAGAGGCUGAUUAUUAUUGGCAACAAUGAAAAGAAUUUUUGGAGAUCAGUGACAAGAAUGAUAAGGACAAGUUUACCAAUAAGAAUAUGAUUGGAAAUGAAUCAGAAAGUAAUGACAAGAGGGUCAAGACAUUUGGAUUUGAAAAGGAAAGUCACCACCAAAGACUUAAUCAUGUGUGAAUUACAAGUAAAUUAUGAAACAAGUUUGUGUUUUCGGGUGAUUGGAGUCUAUUUUGCUUGUAGAAAGUUGGAUCAUAAAAUAAAAGUUUGCCCUUUGAACAAGAAGAAAGAGUCACUGCCUCCUAAAUCAUCAGCCCAUGUAAGAGUGUAUGCUAUCACUGAAUAUGAUUCUGAAACUUCUGAAUUAGUGGUCAAAGGUAUUAUGCAUGUUUAUGAAAGAAUGCAAAUAUUUGUUUGACCAUGGGUCCCAUCUAUGAUUUGAUUCGGAAUAUUCUGCCUAUCACUUGGGUAUUCAACCUAGACCACUACAUUAUGUGCUAUAUGUAAAUACGAUCAUUGGAGAUUCUUUGAUAACGAACUUGAAUCUGGUCCUCUUGUCUGAUUUUUGUUGGAGAACUUGAACUUUUGCUGAUUUAGUUCUCCUAGAGAUUUGGAGUUAUGAUAUUAUACUUGGUAUGGAUUGGCCAUCUUCUUAUCAUACCAGUAUGGAUUGAUAUAUAACAAAUGAUCACUUUUUGUAUAUUUGAUCAGUCGAUCUUUUUCUUUGAGAGUAUGGGACAUGAUUUAUCUCCUUGCCUAAUGUAUCCAGGAUGACUUGCUUGGAUUACCUCCAAAUGUGACUUUGCUUUUGAUUUGGUCCUUGGGAUAAUCCCAAUAUCUAAGCCUCUCUACAGAAAGAUAUCAUUUGAGUAAGUGAAAUUGGAAAAGCAACUACAAGGAUUGUUAAAUGAGGAUUUUAUUUGGCUUAAUAUUUCAUCAUGGGGUGCUCCGGUGUUAGUUAAAAGAAAUGUAUGGAACAUUGAGGCUUUGUAAUGAUUAUAGACAGUUGAAUUAGGUGACCAUCAAAAACGAGUAUUUUCUGAAGUAACGACUUGCUCGAUUAAUUACAGGGUACGCAAGUAUUUUUAGAAAUUGAUUGAAGGUCGGGUUACCGUCUAUUGAGGAUCAAGGAGGAGAAUAUUUCGGUCACUCGUGGAUAAUUAUGUAAUUGUAUUGUAUUGAUGAAACUAUUUAAGAGUAGGAGGAGGAAAUAAAGAUAUCAUAAUCCUCAUCUUUUCAUCGAUUGAGCUAUGAUCAAUUUAGAGGACUAAAUUUUCUUUUAAGGGGGGGAGAGUGUAAUAUCCCUCGCUUUUAAAAAUUAUUAAUAAAGAUUUAUAUGUAAAUUGGAGGACCUAUAUGUAAAUAUAGAAAUUACAAGGACUAAACUGCUAAGUUGCAAAAAAAGAAAAAAAAAAGGGAAAACCGAAAAUUCGGUAUUAUCCCACCGCCUCCCACGCACUCUGUUUCUUCCAGAAACAGAGAGAGCGGUGGGGCGGGAGGAGAAGAAGGAGAGUGGUAGAAGAAGAGGAGGUGGCUGCAGCGAGGGCUGCAGCGAGAAGCUGUGGGGCGUGGGGAGAAGAAGAGAGGAAGAAGAGGGAGAAGAGAAGAAGAAGAAGAAGAAGAAGAGAAGAGGAUAGCUGCGGCAAGGCUGCAGCGAGGAGGUGUGUGGGGUUGGGGAGGAAAAGGGAAGAGGAGAAGAAGAGGGAAAAGAGAGGGAAGAGGGAGAGGAGCGAGAGGCAGCUGCAGCAGCCAGGGCUGCAGCACCUCUGUUUCCCGCAGGUGGAAACAGAGGAGAGGAUGUGUGGGGCGUUGAGGAUGAAAAGGGAAGAAGAAGAAGAAGAAGAAGAAGAAGAAGAAGAUAGCUGCGGCAAGGCUGCAGCGAGGAGAUGUGUGGCCUUGGGGAGGAAAAGGGAAGAGGGGAAGAGGAGAAGAAGAAGAAGAGGAAGAGAAAGAGGUGUGAUACCUCUGUUUCCUGCAGAGGAAACAGAGGAGAGGGUGUGUGUGACGCCGGGGAAGAAGGGGCUGCAGCUGCGGCGAUGGCAGCUGCAGCUGGAAGAGAAGAAGAAGAGGAAGAUGAGCAGGGGAGGAGGGAGAGGUUGCGGCCGUGGCUGCGGCCGCGACUGCAGCAGUUGCAGCGGGGAGAGAAGAAGAAGAAAGGAAGGAGAAGGAAGAGGAGAAGGGAAAGAAGUAGCUGCGGCUGCGGUUGUGGCAGCUGCAACUAUGGCAGGGAAAGAGGAAGAGAAAAAGGAAAGGAAGAAGAGAGAAAGGGAAGGAGAGGAAGAAGAGAGGAAGAGGAGAAGGGAAAGAAGUAGCUGCGGCUGCGGUUGUGGCAGCUGCAGCUAUGGCAGGGAAAGAGAAAAAGGAAAGGAAGAAGAGAGAAAGGGAAGGAGAGGAAGAAGAGAGGAAGAGGAGAAGGGGCUGCGGCUGCGGCGAUGGCAGCUGCAGCUGUGGCAGGGAAAGAGAAAAAGGAAAGGAAGAAGAAGAGAAAGGGAAGGAGAGGAAGAAGAGAGGAAGAGGAGAAGGGGCUGCGGCUGCGGUGAUGGCAGCUGCAGCUGUGGCUGGGAAAGAAGAGAAGGAAAGGAAGAAGAAGAGAAAGGGAAGGAGAGGAAGAAGAGAGGAAGAGGAGAAGGGGUGGCAGCUGCGGCAGUGGCAGCUGCAGUUGGAAGAGAAGUAGGAGAGGAAAUAGAGUAGCAGAGGAAGAAGAGGCUGCGGUUGUGGUGGCUGCGGCCAUGGCUGCGACUGCGACAGCGGCAGUUGCAGCCGGGAAAGAAAGGAAAGGAAAGGGGGGAAAAAAAGGGACUGCGGACGGGAUUGCGGCCGCAGCGGCAGCGACUGCGUAUGCAGCAGUUAUGUCUGUGAGAGAAGGGAGGAAGGAAGGUAGUGCGGUGUAAGGGGCUGCGAUUGUAGCAGCGGCAACGGCGGCGGCUGUGGCAGCUGCGUUUGGGAAAGAAAAAGAAGGAAUGAGAGUAAGAGAGAGCAGGUGACUGUGCCUCGAUGUUCGACACGUGGUGUAGUUGCGAAGAAAGGAAGAAAACGGGAGCACAAAAUGAAACAGAGAGAGGACACGGAGGAAAAGUAGAAGGAUUUGGGCUGGCACCUUCUUUGGAUCUUCGGAUCGAAAUCUUUGAAAGGCAAGUUUCCCACUUGUUUCGAUCCUUUCUAUUGCAAGUAUCCUGAUCUUCCUCACUGCCAUUUUUAUCUCUACAUUUGCUUUGAAUAUGAGGAACUUUGAAUUGUUCUAGCCUUGCAUUUGUUAUAUCUCCUGUUUACAUGUAACGAUUCGAAUCUGUGCAACUUUUGAGAUUCUGAUCUUUUGAUACCGAACUGCCUAUAAGACCUUGUGGAAACUCUGAUUUGUUCAAAACUGAUUUCAUUGGAAACUAGACUCGUAGACCUUUCUUUGAUAUAUGGAUUGAAAGAUCUGAAAUUCAAACACCUGCCCAGUUAUUUGUUGAAUCUGACAUUAUGAAUUCUGCCAACAGAGAUUUUGUUCUAUGACUCUUGCUUACCAAAUUAUUUGUAACUCUCUCUGUUGGACAUUUCAAUUCAUAUGAAGCCUGUCUUAUCUGAAAGUAUUAUCCAAUGAUUAUUUCUGAGUAAAUUGGAGCACGAUUGAUAGUUUGAAUCAUUUGUUCAAUGUGCCUUCUGUAUUCUGCCAGAAAUCGAGCUUUGGUCGAUUUCUCAUAUUCUGGUUUCAUUCCUUUGGAAAUUGAUAUCCUUUAGCCUUCUUAUUCAAUUGAGCUUUAUAUUACUACUUUGAAUUCUUGUAUGCUCUUGUCCUUAAAAUUAUUGCAUUCUUGAAAACUGUUGUGUAACGUUUAUGCUAUAUCGUAUUGACUCAUAUAGGCACAUGUAUAUCCUAUUGUUCCGCAUUUGCUUUCGAUAUGUGCCUAUUCCAGUUUCAUUCCUUUGGACAUUGAAUUCAUCAAAUCUUGUUAUUGAAUUGAGUUAUUUGUGAUUGCUUGGAUUCCAUAUGUGCCCUUGCUUUCAAUUCCCUUCAAAUCUGAAUAUACUUGUGAAAGAUUAUUGCUUACUUCGGAUUGACUCGUAAAGGCACAUGUACGUUUGUUGUUCCGCGUGUGCUUCCGAUAUAUGCUACUUAUUGUUGAAACUAUCCUUUUGUACUCUGGUGUGUGGGAUUGUCUGGACCUUUGCCAGAAAUGGUAAAGGGUAUGCGCUGAUUUGCCCGCUAUGUGGGGUCCCGCUAUGUGGGAUAUUCUGGUAUGCGCUUAUUUGCCCGCUAUGUGGGGUCCCGCUAUGUGGGAUAUUGCUUAGAGCCUGCGAUGCUCUGCCGGCCCCCUUUGACUUCACCUAGACGUGGGUGGAUGGAGCUCCCAGACGUGGGAGACUUUUGUCAGGUGGUCAUUCAGAAAUGGAUGAAUCACAUUCUGACUGAGAUCCCACUACACCUUCUGUAUGUUUGAUAUGAUAUCCAGAGCUUUGGUUAUGUGUUUCUGUACAUGCUUUGGAUAAGAUUGAUAUGUUUACAACGUCAAAGACGACGUUUGAGCUUCUGUACGAUAUUUGUUUUCGAUAUGCUCUGAAAUGCUUCAUUCACUGAUGAUAUGCUUCGAAAUGUUCCAUAUGCCGUUGAUAUGCUCCGGAACAUUUCAUAUGCCAUUGAUAUGCUCCAAUUACUCUGUGCUCCAUUUGCUAUGAACUGAUAUGUUCUGAAAUGUCCUAUCUGCCAUUGAUAUGUUCCAAUUACUCUGUGCUCCAUUUGCUAUGAACUGAUAUGUUCUGAAAUGUCCUAUCUGCCAUUGAUAUGUUCCAAUUACUCUGUGCUCCAUUUGCUAUGAACUGAUAUGUUCUGAAAUGUCCUAUCUGCCAUUGAUAUGUUCCAAUUACUCUAUGCCCCAUUCGUUAUGGAUCAAAUAUGUUUUGAAUGACAUGAUACGUAUGAUUUGGUAUCUAUUGAGAUGGUAUCCUUGAGAAUUCUUGUAUUCUGCCUUGCAUUAUGAUACCUUACUCGUUUGAAACCGUUCCUUUUGUUCUGAAUAUGCUUUGUCACUUGCUGAGCCGUUUUUGGCUCACUCCGUUGUUAUAUGAAUUUUUCAGGUCAGCUUGUCACUCUUCGAGAUGUUUGAUUUGGGCUGAGGCAGUGGAUAGCUAUUCAGAAUAAUGGGCAAGUCUGGUUGGUUAUUACGAUAUUGUUGUAUAAGUAUGUCUUGUAUGUAAUGAAAUGUUGUCGAUAAACCGAAAUGGAUAUACUGUGUCCAAGUGUUAGGAGAUCUCUCUUAUUUGGAAUUUCAGAAUGUUAAGUCAAAUUUAUGGUGAUAUGAACUUGUGGUGAAUAGUUGGAGUUCUGAUUGUAUAAUUUAUUUAGCUCGUGGAUUUAUAAAUGUUGUUCAUGUUUGUCAA